AAAGAAACCAACAGGGAUUGCCCUAGUAACGGCGAGUGAAGCGGCAACAGCUCAAAUUUGAAAUCUGGCCCUCGGGUCCGAGUUGUAAUUUGUAGAGGAUGCUUUUGGUGAGGUGCCUUCCGAGUUCCCUGGAACGGGACGCCAUAGAGGGUGAGAGCCCCGUCUGGUUGGACACCGAGCCUCUGUAAAGCUCCUUCGACGAGUCGAGUAGUUUGGGAAUGCUGCUCUAAAUGGGAGGUAUAUGUCUUCUAAAGCUAAAUACCGGCCAGAGACCGAUAGCGCACAAGUAGAGUGAUCGAAAGAUGAAAAGCACUUUGAAAAGAGAGUUAAAAAGUACGUGAAAUUGUUGAAAGGGAAGCGCUUAUGACCAGACUUGGGCUUGGUUGAUCAUCCUGGGUUCUCCCUGGUGCACUCUUCCAGUUCAGGCCAGCAUCAGUUCGCUGCGGGGGAUAAAAGUUUUGGGAAUGUGGCUCCCUCGGGAGUGUUAUAGCCCAUUGCAUAAUACCCUGCUCCGGACUGAGGUUCGCGCAUCUGCAAGGAUGCUGGCGUAAUGGUCAUCAGCGACCCGUCUUGAAACACGGACCAAGGAGUCGUCUUCGUAUGCGAGUGUUCGGGUGUUAAACCCCUACGCGUAAUGAAAGUGAACGCAGGUGAGAGCUUCGGCGCAUCAUCGACCGAUCCUGAUGUUCUCGGAUGGAUUUGAGUAAGAGCAUACGGGGCCGGACCCGAAAGAAGGUGAACUAUGCCUGUAUAGGGUGAAGCCAGAGGAAACUCUGGUGGAGGCUCGCAGCGGUUCUGACGUGCAAAUCGAUCGUCAAAUAUGGGCAUGGGGGCGAAAGACUAAUCGAACCUUCUAGUAGCUGGUU
RNAcentral lists this ribosomal RNA (866 nucleotides) under Calonectria clavata. RNAcentral's name for it is "partial large subunit ribosomal RNA". It matches the Rfam family "Eukaryotic large subunit ribosomal RNA", at positions 58 to 956 of the family's 3401-position model. RNAcentral also lists the same sequence under 5 other names. Lineage: Eukaryota; Fungi; Ascomycota; Sordariomycetes; Hypocreales; Nectriaceae. The record is from RNAcentral.